RNAcentral lists this ribosomal RNA (443 nucleotides) under uncultured bacterium. RNAcentral describes it as "partial 16S ribosomal RNA". It matches the Rfam family "Bacterial small subunit ribosomal RNA", at positions 338 to 795 of the family's 1533-position model. The record is from RNAcentral.
CCUACGGGAGACAGCAGUGGGGGAUAUUGGACAAUGGGGGCAACCCUGACCCAGCAACGCCGCGUGAGGGAAGACGGCUUUCGGGAUGUAAACUUAUUUUCUCAGGGACGAAAAAAGUGGCGGUACCGGAGGAAUAAGCCACGGCUAACUACGUGCCAGCAGCCGCGGUAAUACGAAGGGGGCAAGCGUUCGCCGGAUAUAUUGGGUUGAAAGGGCGUGUAGGCGGGAGCGCAAGUCAGAUGUGAAAACUCAGGUCCCAACCCUGAGCCUGCAUUUGAAACUGUGUUUCUUGAGUGAUGGAGAGGCAAGCGGAAUUCCGAGUGUAGCGGUGAAAUGCGUAGAUAUACGGAGGAACACCAGUGGCGAAGGCGGAUUGCUGGACAGUAACUGACGCUGAGGCGCGAAAGCGUGGGGAGCAAACAGGAUUAGAUACCCGUGUAGUC